Molecule: long non-coding RNA, 220 nt
Filed under: Panax ginseng (ginseng)
Lineage: Eukaryota; Viridiplantae; Streptophyta; Magnoliopsida; Apiales; Araliaceae
Description: long non-coding RNA (PGIN_LNC014986)
Source: RNAcentral
GAAAUUCAUAAGUCAUUGCAAAAUUUCGUUGCUAAUUCAUUGGUGGGAAAAAUUUUCGUUAGAAAUUCGUUGCAAAAUUUUUGGCCACUUGCUUUCCCAUCAUCGUGGGCAACGAAAGUUUUUUUGUUGCUAAAAAUGGGGCUUUAGCAUCGAUUUUUCAGGCAACGACUUAUAAAGUCGUUGCUAAAAAUGUAUGUUUAGCAACGAAAAUUGUCCUUCG